This 250-nucleotide ribosomal RNA is filed under the name uncultured bacterium. RNAcentral describes it as "partial 16S ribosomal RNA". It matches the Rfam family "Bacterial small subunit ribosomal RNA", at positions 524 to 773 of the family's 1533-position model. The record is from RNAcentral.
UACGUAGGUGGCAAGCGUUGUCCGGAUUUACUGGGUGUAAAGGGCGCGUAGGCGGGAAUGCAAGUCAGAUGUGAAAUCUCCGGGCUUAACCCGGAAACUGCAUUUGAAACUGCAUUUCUUGAGUGUCGGAGAGGUAGAUGGAAUUCCUAGUGUAGCGGUGAAAUGCGUAGAUAUUAGGAGGAACACCAGUGGCGAAGGCGAUCUACUGGACGAUAACUGACGCUGAGGCGCGAAAGCGUGGGGAGCAAAC